Molecule: long non-coding RNA, 1962 nt
Organism: Wasmannia auropunctata (little fire ant)
Lineage: Eukaryota; Metazoa; Arthropoda; Insecta; Hymenoptera; Formicidae
Exons: 2
Source: RefSeq, a predicted model, not a curated record
GGAGUUCGGCUCGACGUACGGUAAUUUGAUAUCGGAUAAACGUUCCUGUCGUCGGCACGACCGACGUGGGCCUCUGAAGGCACACGCACGUCGAGCCUGGUUGCACGUCCAGCGGAAAGCGCAUUAACCCGCGAAAAGGACGCGUACGCGGACGGGAAAUGCUCGGCCGGAUUUAUCUGCCGACUCGUCGUCGCUCUCUCCCCCCUCGAUAAAAGCCCGGCGACUAAAAGUCAGAAUUUUUUAUAGCCGCUCUAGAUAAACUCCCCGCGGAAUGGCAUUCGCGGAAAUUUAAUUACUUACCGCGGGGCAGAUUAACGCCGAUGCGAAAUCUAGAUAAUGUAUUUAGGAAAAGUUGAUAUCGCGCCGGGGAGCGACUGAAAUAUACGAUGAUAAUUACGAGGACGGGAGUGACGCCGCCAUCUCCGUUAUUAUUUCCAGUUGGCAGCUUCGGUGAUCCCGAUUAUACUCGAGGUUCAUUUCAAGUUCAGCGCCAGCGGAAAAUGCAGUUUUCAAAGAGAUUGCAGAUUAUCUGCGCGACAUUGCAUAAAAGGACUCGUGGAGAAAAACUUAAUUUAGCUCAGUCGUUGUCAGCACGUGAAUAGGCGAACGAACGUGUGCGCGCGCGCCAAUGUGCAGGUAAUCAUUCUAUCUGUCCGUUCGCAGUUAAUACAAAUUUCUGAGGAAAUCCCUGUUAAUCGGCCGACUCAUUUUAUAAUCUGCAGACCUUAUGGUCUGUCGCCAUUAUCGAGAGAGAAAGAGAGAGAGAGAGAGAGAGAAACAGUUAAUGAUGGCAAAAAUCUUUCACAAAUCGGACGAGACAGGAAAUCAAGAGACACGCUCUCGCUUGAUUUUCUUCGUGCCUUAUUAUUUUCUGUAGUCCCUAACUUUUAAUCGAUUAAGAGUUCAAUCUACCUUUUUUUUUGUUUCCUCGAAUAUGAUUAAAUGAAAUUGGAUGUUCGUCCGAGCUGUGUCUCCGAUAGCGAAUACGAAAUUCGGGAUUGAUCGUUCGAAUCGCGUUCUUCUUUUCAAUAAUAACUGAUUUUUUUCCUGAGAAAAUUGCUCUUCAGACAGAUUGAUAUAAAAUCUCGUAAUCUAACUGAUAAGAAUAUUACAGUAUUUUAACGUUUAAAUCUCAUCUAAAAUUAAUAGUUAAUAACGGUGGAAAAAAAAACUUGCAAAUUGUGCAAGACGGAGGUCGGAGAGUGACGUCGAGACGUCUUCCACACUCUUUUUGCAAUAUAGCGUACGUUAUUUUGUCAAAGCCGAGAAGAUGAGCGAGCUCCCUCGUAACCGGCAAAUUGCUUUAAAUGCCAAAUUGAAAUUUCUUAGCACCGCGUAAGCUUACAUUAGCUGCUCGGUCCCGUUGCCUGAAUACCUGAGAAGUAUGGCGCGUCACUUAGCUGCAAUACGGCUGGUACUCUAGGCUCGGAAGCCGAAACUGAGAGCCGGUCACGUAAUUCCUCGCCGGCAAACUUGCCGCAUUAUCCGUUGCAUUACGUUCGGCAGCCAGAGGCGUUAGCUUCCAGCCGGCGGACAUUAGGUUUAUGCAAGCUAAGAGAGUCGACAAGAAGCACGCAACGAUCUAAAUCAACAGCGACAUGUUUACAGCGGGAAGUCGCACAGUUUACGAUAUGCAUUUCAAAAGAGACAUACAUUGGCAUUGGCUUAUCUUAACGUUAUUUUCGCAUAAAUUGGUAAAAAAUACAAAUUGCCAAUAAAAUCGAAACUUCAAUAUGCGAUAAAUAGAAGAAACUAAAUUGUUAAACGCAUUAAGUACCAAUAAUAGCGAUGUACCCACAUCCAUCAAGUCAAAAGUAAAAAAAGCUUUAAGAUUCAUUGCUAUUACGAAUAGUAAUUUAUAAAAUGAUGAUGUUCAAAUAUAUCGAUAAAAGCUAUUUUGGAUAUAAUAAAAAACGGAUCUUUCUAAAGAGAUUGACUUGAUAUUAAACAGAAUAAUUAUAA